AGUUUCCCAUGACCUCAGCCCCACCGCACAUCCCUAAUUUCUACUACUAUAAAUAGGGAUGCAGAAUUCUCGAAAUCUCACAGCUUCACUCGAUUCAACCUUCUGCUUCCUCACACACACAAGCAGCAACUAUGAUUUCAUCCCAUAUAUUUCUCUAUAAUUUGAAGCCCAGUUGUUGUUCUCAAACGGUGGUAGCCCGUCUUCUGUGUUUCGGGGAAGCACGCAACGUCAAGAAAGGAGGGGAUCUGAUGGGAGUUGACAUAGUGCUUCUUGAUGAGUAGUCCACACUGCUGCAAGGGUGCACCGGCUUCACACUUUCAAACACCUUCUGAAAGAGGGAGACAUUUACGAGAUCAGUGGCUUUCAUGUUGCAAGAACUAUCACCCACUUCAAGCUGUCAGAUUCAACCGUAGUCCAUUGAAACAACCAAUGGCUGGUUCUACAUUUAAUGCUCAAAAUGUUCUCGGAAGCUUCAGCGUGGCCUAUCUUGAUUCACAUGUACAUCAUGUCACACUAGCGCUGUAUCGUGUGGAAAUUUCCAUGACAGAUGCGACAGACUCGGCUGUGUUUGUGUUGUUUGACUAAGAGAUGUCUAAGUUAGUGUGCUUGCGGCAGAAGUCGUCGAGUUCAUGGUUGCAGGUGUUGGCGACCCCCUUGAGCUUCCACCUUUUACCUAAGAAAGUGUUGGGAAAACAUACAAGUUCCAGCUGAGCUACUAAAGUUCAAUUUUUCCACAAAGCAUCAGACCUUCACUGUGUCACACAUCUUUGAUAUGCCAUUAUCGCAAAUCACAGAGGGAACUAUUUUCCAGGAGAUGAAAUGUCUGCUGCUAAAUGUCUCUCUUGCAACUGCACUGAUGGUCGAAGGUCAAGUGGUAAUGUCCAGAGCAACAAAAUUGAUGGAAAACCUUCGGACCAGGCGAGCCCAUCUGGUGGAGAAGUUUCAGCUGCACAACACAAUUGGGAGGGGAGCGUUCUAGAUGCAGGUCCGGUUCAAGUUGCAUGCAACAAACACCCCAAAGAAGUCAUGCACCGGAUAGUUGAUUAAUCUAUUGACCUUGAGACCUCACUCUUUCUCUUUUGGUUCCUUGCAGUGUUGUUUUACAUGUCUGGUAUUUCUCUCAAGCUCCAUUUAAAUGAUGUUUUU
This is an RNA transcript of Brassica oleracea var. oleracea, 1146 nucleotides long. RefSeq lists it as uncharacterized. NCBI's taxonomy places the organism in Eukaryota, Viridiplantae, Streptophyta, Magnoliopsida, Brassicales, Brassicaceae. The transcript is spliced from 5 exons. The record is from RefSeq and is a predicted model, not a curated record.